This 238-nucleotide ribosomal RNA is filed under the name uncultured bacterium. RNAcentral describes it as "partial 16S ribosomal RNA". It matches the Rfam family "Bacterial small subunit ribosomal RNA", at positions 28 to 263 of the family's 1533-position model. The record is from RNAcentral.
GACGAACGCUGGCGGCGUGCUUAACACAUGCAAGUCGAGCGGUAAGGCCCUUUCGGGGUACGACGAGCGGCGAACGGGUGAGUAACACGUGGGUGACCUCGCCCUCCAGCUCUGGGAGUAAGCCUGGGAAACUGGGUCGUAAUACCGGAUAUGACUCCAUGACGCAUGUUGUGGGGUGGAAAGCCUUGUGCGGCUGAGGAUGGGCCCGCGGCCUAUCAGCUUGUUGGUGGGGGUGAGG